Molecule: long non-coding RNA, 831 nt
Filed under: Gadus morhua (Atlantic cod)
Lineage: Eukaryota; Metazoa; Chordata; Actinopteri; Gadiformes; Gadidae
Description: lncRNA (ENSGMOG00000035187.1)
Source: RNAcentral
AACUUUGCCACCCAGAGCAAGACCUCCACCUCCUUACCCAGAGCCAGACCUUCACCUCCUGUCAGAAGUCCUCCAGAACAGCACAAAGGUGAGGCUGAGAGGCUUGGGACCGGAGGCUUGUGGUGCCAGGAUGGACCUGAGGCUGGAGACCAGGGGCCUGCGGUACCGGACCAGAGGGUAACCAUCACCAAGCUCAUCUGAAACACUAAAAUCCUCAGAGGUUUAGGUCUGGUUUUGAUCAACUUAUGACUUUACAUCUGUGCCAAGCUGUGAUUCGAGUUAAUUCAUACCGGUUUUGUGUAAGAGUCAUAUGAGCCAUUAUUGUUUCUGGUGCUGCUAUGACCGUAGUGGAUGAAUUGCUGAACGCAACAAUCUGCAGACGUUGUUGUUUUAAAUUAGUCUUCCAUUUUACAAGUGAACCUCGGAUGCAGGAGGUGGGGUGUAUUGCGCCCCAAGGUGAUUUACUGCUGAUACCAAAUGUGUUUGUAACCAGACCAGGAAUCCAUGGCUGAAGGAGCUGAUGGAGGAGCCGCGCUGAAGGCCCUGCCUGGUGGAGGAGCUGAUGGAGGCCCUGCCUGGUGGAGGAGCUGAUGGAGGCCCUGCCUGGUGGAGGAGCUGAUGGAGGCCCUGCCUGGUGGAGGAGCCAUGCUGAAGGCCCUGCCUGGUGGAGGAGCUGACGGAGGCCCUGCCUGGUGGAGGAUGUCUGUCGUGGGGACUCUGGUUUGGAGGAGAGCUGAUGGGGAGCUGAUGGAGGAGCUGAGUCGCUGGAGGACGACUAGGAAUCGACCAACAAGGAUUCCUCAACGUGUUUCUGGAGCGGAGGCGAGCUGA